CAUCAAGGCUAAAUUAGUGUUUGGCUUGAUGCGUUUUUUAAUUACCUUUAACUCAAUAAUAUUGAGGGAAGGGUUAACACACUAAGGAUUUUUUAUGUCUUUAAAUGCUUCACAAAAAGCUGCAAUCGUUGCAGAAUAUGCUCAAUCAGAA
Colwellia sp. MT41 is the source of this 151-nucleotide regulatory RNA element. It matches the Rfam family "Ribosomal S15 leader". Rfam says of the family: The E. coli Ribosomal S15 gene 5' UTR can form two alternative structures. Lineage: Bacteria; Pseudomonadati; Pseudomonadota; Gammaproteobacteria; Alteromonadales; Colwelliaceae. The record is from Rfam.